AGGGCACCACCAGGAGUGGAGCCUGCGGCUUAAUUUGACUCAACACGGGGAAACUUACCCGGCCUGGACACUGGAAGGAUUGACAGAUUGAGAGCUCUUUCUUGAUUCAGUGGGUGGUGGUGCAUGGCCGUUCGUAGUUGGUGGAGCGAUUUGUCUGGUUAAUUCCGAUAACGAACGAGACUCUAGCCUAUUAAAUAGGCUCCCGGCUUUUAAACGCCGGGAGGACUUCUUAGAGGGACAGGUGGCGGUUCAGCCGCACGAAAGAGAGCAAUAACAGGUCUGUGACGCCCUUUGUUGUCCGGGGCCGCACGCGCGCUACACUGAAGAGAUCAGCGUGCUUUAUGUUCCUGCUCCGACCGGAGUGGGGAACCCAGUGAACCUUCUUCGUGAUUGGGAUAGAAGAUUGUAAUUAUUCUUCUUGAACGAGGAAUUCCCAGUAAAUGCGAGUCAUAAGCUCGCGUUGAUUACGUCCCUGCCCUUUGUACACACCGCCCGUCGCUACUACCGAUUGAACGAUUU
RNAcentral lists this ribosomal RNA (519 nucleotides) under uncultured eukaryote. RNAcentral's name for it is "SSU rRNA". It matches the Rfam family "Eukaryotic small subunit ribosomal RNA", at positions 1161 to 1699 of the family's 1831-position model. The record is from RNAcentral.